This 87-nucleotide transfer RNA is filed under the name Rickettsiales bacterium. Its description in RNAcentral is "tRNA-Tyr". It matches the Rfam family "tRNA". Rfam says of the family: Transfer RNA (tRNA) molecules are approximately 80 nucleotides in length. Lineage: Bacteria; Pseudomonadati; Pseudomonadota; Alphaproteobacteria; Rickettsiales. The record is from RNAcentral.
GGAGGAUUGGCAGAGCGGUUAAAUGCAGUUGCCUGUAAAGCAACCCUACUACGUAGUACGUUGGUUCGAAUCCAACAUCCUCCACCA